GUAUGUAUAGCUCAGUGGUAGAGCACGUGCUUAGCAUGCACAAGGUCCUGGGUUAAAUUCCCAGUACCUCCU
This 72-nucleotide transfer RNA is filed under the name Camelus dromedarius (Arabian camel). It matches the Rfam family "tRNA". From Rfam's summary of the family: Transfer RNA (tRNA) molecules are approximately 80 nucleotides in length. Their secondary structure includes four short double-helical elements and three loops (D, anti-codon, and T loops). Lineage: Eukaryota; Metazoa; Chordata; Mammalia; Artiodactyla; Camelidae. RNAcentral also lists the same sequence under 1 other name. The record is from Rfam by way of RNAcentral.